This 428-nucleotide ribosomal RNA is filed under the name uncultured bacterium. RNAcentral's name for it is "bacterial SSU rRNA". It matches the Rfam family "Bacterial small subunit ribosomal RNA", at positions 355 to 776 of the family's 1533-position model. The record is from RNAcentral.
UGGGGAAUCUUCCGCAAUGGGCGAAAGCCUGACGGAGCAACGCCGCGUGAUCGAAUGAAGGCCUUCGGGUUGUAAAGAUCUGUUGACAGGGACGAAUAAGCCAUGCGAAUAGUUUGGUGUAUGACGGUACCUGUUUAGAAAGCUCCGGCUAACUACGUGCCAGCAGCCGCGGUAAUACGUAGGGAGCAAGCGUUGUCCGGAAUUACUGGGCGUAAAGGGCGCGUAGGUGGGUGCUUAAGUCAGGUGUGAAAACUCUGGGCUCAACCUGGAGACUGCACUUGAAACUGGGUAUCUUGAGGGCAGGAGAGGAAAGUGGAAUUCCUAGUGUAGCGGUGAAAUGCGUAGAUAUUAGGAGGAACACCAGUGGCGAAGGCGACUUUCUGGACUGUACCUGACGCUGAGGCGCGAAAGCGUGGGUAGCGAACGGG